This 531-nucleotide small RNA is filed under the name Acremonium alternatum. RNAcentral describes it as "eukaryotic LSU rRNA". The stretch from base 175 to 328 matches the Rfam family "5.8S ribosomal RNA". The record is from RNAcentral. Lineage: Eukaryota; Fungi; Ascomycota; Sordariomycetes; Hypocreales; Bionectriaceae.
CCAUUUUUUGGAUAUUACUGAUGUUAAAACUCCAAACCUUUGUGAACAUACUACUGUUGCUUCGGCGGCCUCGCCCCGCGGCGCGCACUGCGUGACCCGGGCCAAGGCGACCGCCGGAGGCACCAAACCCUGUCUUUAUAGUGGAUUUCUGAGUGGCAUAAGCAAAUAAAUCAAAACUUUCAGCAACGGAUCUCUUGGUUCUGGCAUCGAUGAAGAACGCAGCAAAAUGCGAUAAGUAAUGUGAAUUGCAGAAUUCAGUGAAUCAUCGAAUCUUUGAACGCACAUUGCGCCCGCCAGUACUCUGGCGGGCAUGCCUGUCUGAGCGUCAUUUCAACCCUCAGGACCCGUUCGCGGGACCUGGCGUUGGGGAUCAGCCCUCCGGGGCUGGCCCUUAAAUCUAGUGGCGGUCCUCACGCGACCUCCUCUGUGCAGUAGUAAUACCUCGCAGCUGGAAAGCGUAAGGGCCACGCUGUAAAACCCCCUACUUCUCAAGGUUGACUUCAGAUCAGGAAGGAAUACCCGGUGAAUUAA